GAGUUUGAUCGUGGCUCAGAUUGAACGCCGGCGGUAUGCUUAACACAUGCAAGUCGAACGGUAACAGGCUAGCUUGCUAGCGCUGACGAGUGGCGGACGGGUGCGUAACGCGUAGGAAUCUGCCUAUUAGUGGGGGGACAACCUGGUGAAAACCAGGCUAAUACCGCAUACGCCCUACGGGGAAAGACAGGGGAUCUUCGGACCUUGCGCUAAUAGAUGAGCCUGCGUUAGAUUAGCUUGUUGGUGAGGUAAUGGCUCACCAAGGCGACGAUCUAUAGCUGGUCUGAGAGGACGAUCAGCCACACUGGGACUGAGACACGGCCCAGACUCCUACGGGAGGCAGCAGUGGGGAAUAUUGGACAAUGGGCGGAAGCCUGAUCCAGCAAUACCGCGUGUGUGAAGAAGGCCUGAGGGUUGUAAAGCACUUUCAAUUGGGAGGAAAACAGGCAGGUUAAUAUCCUGUCUCUUGACAUUACCUUUAGAAGAAGCACCGGCUAGCUCCGUGCCAGCCC
Molecule: ribosomal RNA, 512 nt
Filed under: uncultured microorganism
Description: bacterial SSU rRNA
Rfam family: Bacterial small subunit ribosomal RNA
Source: RNAcentral